UGGGGAAUAUUGGACAAUGGGCGCAAGCCUGAUCCAGCCAUGCCGCGUGUGUGAAGAAGGCCUUCGGGUUGUAAAGCACUUUAAGCGAGGAGGAAGGGCACUUAAUUAAUACUUGAGUGCAUUGACGUUACUCGCAGAAUAAGCACCGGCUAACUCUGUGCCAGCAGCCGCGGUAAUACAGAGGGUGCAAGCGUUAAUCGGAAUUACUGGGCGUAAAGCGCGCGUAGGCGGUUUCGUAAGUUGGAUGUGAAAUCCCCGGGCUCAACCUGGGAAUUGCAUUCAAAACUGCGAGGCUAGAGUGUGGGAGAGGAUGGUAGAAUUCCAGGUGUAGCGGUGAAAUGCGUAGAGAUCUGGAGGAAUACCGAUGGCGAAGGCAGCCAUCUGGCCUAACACUGACGCU
This 400-nucleotide ribosomal RNA is filed under the name uncultured bacterium. RNAcentral's name for it is "bacterial SSU rRNA". It matches the Rfam family "Bacterial small subunit ribosomal RNA", at positions 355 to 747 of the family's 1533-position model. The record is from RNAcentral.